Molecule: long non-coding RNA, 5288 nt
Filed under: Heterocephalus glaber (naked mole-rat)
Lineage: Eukaryota; Metazoa; Chordata; Mammalia; Rodentia; Bathyergidae
Description: lncRNA (ENSHGLG00100037736.1)
Source: RNAcentral
CCCCGGCCCAGACCUCGUGAUGUAACCUACAGCGGCGGCCGAGGUGCGGGGUCUUGGUCGGUUUCGUGCCGGCGGGAGGGCGAAGGGUGGGCGGGGCCUCGGUUCCCAAAUUUGCCCCAGAGCGCGGUUGACAGGGUGCAGCCGGGAGAGGCCGCGCUGGGACGGAGAUAUAGUGGAAACGUUCCUGGAUGUUCAGGGCGCGCCGUCCCACCGGCUGCUGGCCAGAGCCCCGGGAAGGCGAGGAUGCACCUUCUCCCCUGCCUUGGAAAGUCUUGUUACAGUGUAGCAGGCGAUUUCAACCGGAAGUCCAGCCCUAACCUGCCAACAGUUCCUGACCCACUGAAGUCCACUAGCCACCCGGACCUGCAGGGACCCACUCGCCGGCCUAGGCACUGGAAGGAAUCCCAAGUGCCUUGGCAUAAGGAGGACUUAAGGACAGGAGAAGGGAGCUCACCGUGCCCGCAGUGCGAGUCCCUCUCUGGACCUCAUGGGAACAUUGGAGAGGAGAUUCAGAUUAUCACCUAGUUUGUUCCAGACCCUUGAUAAACUACAUUUCCAACCUUGGAAUUUCUGGAUUUCUACUAAAUUAGGCCUUUUUUCUUGCUCACAACCAUCUUGUAGAGGUACUGUCUAGAUGGCCACUAGCCACAGAUGGUGAACAGGCCAGACGGAGGUGUGCUGUGUGACAAAGAUGACAGGCUGCCGAGAAUUAGUAUGAAAAAAAGAAUGUUAAAUGUUGCAUUUUUAGAUUAAUUACAUUAAAAAGGUAAUACUUUUGGUAUAUUGGGUUAAAUAUCUUUUUUUUUUUUUUUUUGAGACAGGGUCUCCCUGUGUAGUUCAGGCUGGCCUUGAACUCACUAUGUAGCCCAGACUGGCCCCGAACUCACAACGAUCCUCCUGCCUCAGCCUCCUGAGUGCUGAGAUUACAGGCAUGCUCCACCACACCCAGCUUUGGGUUAACUAUCUUACUAAGGCUGGGGGAUUCAGCUCAGGGGCACAGCACCUGCCUGGCAAGCUUGAGGUCCUGAGUUCAAUACCCAGUACAGAAAAAUAAAUCUUAUUGAAAUAAAUUUGAUCUAUUCCUUUUUACUUUUUUGUGGGGAAUAGGCAGGUUUAUUAGAGUUAGAAAGUAAGAGAAAAUAGAGAAGGGACUUCAGCUUGAGGGACUGAAGAAAGCAUAGCUCUGCUGAAGAGGAUCAGACUGGCCCUCCUUUUUCACUUUUAUUAGUGUGUUUAACAGAAUUUCAAUUUACAAAUUGGCUCAAAUUACAUUUUCUAUUGGCCAUUCUAAACCAACACCUAUAACUUUGUCUUUAAAAAUGAUCGCUAGUAAUACUGAGUAGUACUGUAACUUCCAGCUAUCAUCCUAACUUUUAAAAAAUAGGUAUCCCUAUUUUAUUUAAAAUUUUGGUUAUUUAUUUUAGAGAUGAGGUCUUGCCAUGUUGCAGGCUGACCCAGAACUCCUGAGCUCAGGAGUUCCUCCUGGCUCAUCCUCCAGAGUAACUGAGACUAUGGGCAUGUGCUACCCUCUCAGGCUAACUUUCCAAGCUCAAGUGAGGCCCAAACUUGGCCUCUGGAACCAUUCAGUAGAAGUAGACUUCUACCAAUAUCUACCAUCUACUGUUUUGUCUUUGACAAUAUUAAGUUUGAGCCCAAAUUAUAGGAGUAUCAUACAGAUAGAGUCAGACACUGCAUGCAUGACAGUGGUCCCAUAAGAUUAGGACAGAGCUAGAAGAUUCUUACUGCCGACUGUUGUCAUAGCCAUCCCAGUAUCAAAGCUCAGUGCAUUAUUCAUGUUUGUUGUGAUGCUGGUGUGAACAAACCUACUGCACUGCCGGUUGUAUAAAACUACAUCACAGACUCGCCCUGUGGCACCACCCUGUAAUCCCAGCUACUCAGGAGCCUGAGGCAGGAGGGUUGCAGGCUGAGACUAGGCUGGGCAACCUAGUGAGACCCUGUUUUAAACAACAAAAAUAUUCUGGUAUGUAGCUCAGUGGUUGAGUGUUUGCCUAGCAUACGCAAAGCCCUGAGUUGACUAAGUUAGGGGAAAAAAAUAAUCAAGAUUAAAAAAAAAUAAAAGGGCUACUAAUGUAGCUCAGUACCACUCCCCCAAAAAGUACAAUACAUGUAAUUAUGUACAGUACAUAAUGCUGUACUUGAUGAUGAAAUGACUGUUACUGGUUUGUAUUUACUGUAUUAUUUAUUGUCAUUUAUCUAUCUAAAGUUAACUGUCGGGCCAGGGAUUUAGCUCAGUGGCACCGAGCCUGCCUCUUAAGCUCAAGGCCCUGAGUUCUAUCCCCGGUACCAAACCAAACCAAACAAAAUAAAGUUAACUGUAAAAUAGCCUCAGGAGGUGUCCAGAAAGAGGAAUUGUGUUAGAGGAGGUGGCAGCUCCAUGCAUGUCAUUGCCCCUGAAAAUCUUCCACUGGGACGAUAUGUGGAAGUGAAAGACAGUGAUAGUGACGAUCUUCACCCUGUGCAGGCCUAGGAUAAUGUGUGUGUUUGUGGCUUAGCUUUUAACAGCAACCAAAAAAGCUUAAAAAGGAAGAAAAAUAUUAAAAAGCCAGGCAGGCUGGUACAUGCUUGUAAUCUCAGCAAUCUGGGAGGUUGACGCAGGAGGAUCACAAGUUCGAGCCUAGCCUGGGAAACUUGAGACUCUUGUCUCAAAAUAAAACAAUAAAAAAUAAAAAAGGGCUGGGAUGUAGCUCAGUAAGAAGGCCCAGGGUUCAAUCCCCAGUACUGGGGAAAGAAAAGAAAUUUUAUAUACUUGUACAAUGUGUUUUAAGUUAAAUGUUAUUACAAAAGAAUUAAAAAAUAAAAGUUUAUUAUCAAGUAAAACAUAGUAAGAAGCUAAAGUUAAUUUAUUCUUGAAGAAAGAAAAUUUAAAAAUAAGUAAAUGCAGUGCAGCCUAAGUGUGCAGUGUUUAUCAACUGUGGGGUCCUGGGGAGUAAUGUCCCAGGUUCCCCCUGGCUCCCUGACAGACAGCAACUCCCAAGUUCCGGUUCGGGUAAGUGCUCCAUCCAGGUGUGGCCUCUUUCCUCUUUUACACUGUAACAAGCAUUGUGUACAGUACUGCCACUUUUCUGUGUUCAGAUACACAGAUCCCAUUGUGUUACAGUUGCCCACAGUCUCCAGUAGAGAGCCAGGCAGUGCAGGUUUGUAGCCUGGGAGCAAUAAGCUAUGUCGUACAGCCGAGGUGUGUAGCGGGCUCUACCAUGUAAUAGGUAUGAGUAAGCACACUGACUCUUGCACGACAAAACCACUUAACACAUUAAACAGUGCAUAACUGUGUAGCCAAUGAAAUUAAACUUGUGGAAAUUAAACUUUCCACAUUGUGUAACUAGACAGACUGGGAAGUGCAGUCCAUUAGGAAUAACUCUGGGGAAAGGAUUUCAACCCCAAAUGAAGCCUCAACAGGUAACUUUUCACUCCGGCUUUCAGGGGACAGGAAUAUGGUGAGAAGGUGCAGUAGUGUUCUAGUGGUCUGUAACACAUACCCAAACAAACUGAAAAGGGUGACACAUUCCUUUAUACUCAAGAUGAGAAAGAUGGCAGUCCUCUAAUUGAUGCCUUUGCUCUCAAUUUUGAUAAUAAAUUCUGGUCAUCUUGUUCUGUUUCAUUGUUCUAUUAGUCAGUCUGUGUACUGAGGACCAGAUUAUUUUAAUUACUGUAAUUUGGAAUAUGUUAUAAUUGGUGGUGGGACUAGUUCUUCAUGCUCCAACAAGUCCUUUUGUCUUCCCCCACCUCUGAAAUAUUCUUGGCUUCCUUUGCUUGUUGUUUUUUUCCCAUAUGGACUUAAUAUACAUUUGUCUGAUUUUUAAUUCCAGUUAGCAUUAAGGAAAUAAUAAAGUGGGAUCCCUAAUACAUUUCACCAGGAUAAAUUCCUAAAUAAUUUUUUAAAAAAGGACAAGGUAGAGAAAAUGAAACUAUAAACAUACCAGAAGAAACCUCAGGAUUUUCUUUUUUUCCUCUUCAGUACUGGACAAUUGAUCCUUCACACUGAGUUACAUCCCCAACCUUGUUUAUUUUUUUUAAUUUAAAAAAAUUUUUAAUUUUUAAAAAAACUUUUAUUUUGAGAUAAGGUCUUGUUAAGUUGCUAAAUUGCUCAAGCUGUGUUCCAACUUGUGAUCCUUCUGCAUCAGUCUCCCAGAGUGCUGUAUCACCAAGCUGUAUCACCAAAAAUAAAAACACAGUGUGGGGAAGGUCUUUUCUAGGUAUGACACAAAACAUAAAAUUCUUAAGAUGAGAUCUUGAUAAAUUUGAUGACGUUAAAAUACAAAUGUUAUGCACUGCAAAGAUCUACCACAAAGUCAAACGAAAAUUACACAUUGACAAGUUGCACAAUAAUGUGAACGUACUUAAUGCUACUGACCUGUAUAUGUAAAAUUGGUUAAAAUGAGUCAGGUAGGUGGUGCACACCUGUAAUUCCAGCACUCUGGGAGGCUGAGGUAGGUGGAUUUCAAGUUUGAGUUCAGCCUGGGCAACUUAGUGAGACCCUGUCUCAAAAUAAAAAAUUUACAAGUAAAAAAUAAAAAAGGGGCUUGGGAUGUAGCUCAGUAUGAAGGUCUGUGGUUCAAUCCGCAGUCCAAAAAAAAAAAAAGGCCAAAAUGGUAAAAUUUAUGUUAUGCAUCUUAGCUACAAUAAAAAAAAGCGCACAAAAACUACUGGAAAAAAUUUAAAGUUCAUCCAUGUUCUGUCUAAAAAAAAAAAAAACUCACAAUGUCUUGGGUUCCAUUGUUUUUGAGACUGAUGUAGUGAUUUGAUUACAAGUUUUGGAAAUCAGGUUGUUUGCAUUUGAGACUCAUUUACUUAACUUGCUGCCUUUCACAAACUGCUUUGUCUUUUUAGGUUUCUAUUUUUUGUUCAUAUGAUGAGGAUGCUAAUAGUACUUAUAUAGGGCUGCUAAAAAUACCCAGUGGAAUGAUGUAUGUGCAGUAUUUUGCUUACUGCCUGGUGUAUAGUAAAUAACAGCCAUGAUAUAUUUGUAAACAAUAAAAUUACUAUAACUAUCCAGUUCUUAUUUUUGUCUUCUCACAGUAACCAUAGCCAGUGUUAUGUUAAUCUUAUAAAUAUAUUUUCACACUUUAAUUACUGCUAUUAUUACCUUUUAAAAAAUAAAUGUUUUUAUUUUUAAUUAAAAAUAUUUUUUGUGUUUUUAUGUUUUUGUGUUUUGUUAUCCAGCUACUUCCUUUGUAAUUCAAGUUACCCUUGAACUGCCUAAGUGGCUAGGCUGUCCUCAAACUCAUGGCAAUCUUCCUGCCUCAGCCUCCUGAGUGCUAGAAUUAUAG